GCAGAGUAGAGGAUUGUGCGUCCUGGUGUAAGCCAAAAAGUGUCUCGGGAUGGGAUGUCGCCCGGGAACGAAAGGGGAAACCCGCGGUACAGCCUCGCGUCCGCUGC
Molecule: non-coding RNA, 107 nt
Filed under: human gut metagenome
Description: THF riboswitch
Rfam family: THF (Tetrahydrofolate) riboswitch aptamer
About the family: THF riboswitch presents a pseudoknot that joins P1-P2 and the loop of P3 and two THF binding.
Source: RNAcentral